Molecule: ribosomal RNA, 253 nt
Filed under: uncultured bacterium
Lineage: Bacteria
Description: partial 16S ribosomal RNA
Rfam family: Bacterial small subunit ribosomal RNA
Source: RNAcentral
UACGUAGGGGGCAAGCGUUGUCCGGAAUCAUUGGGCGUAAAGCGCGCGUAGGCGGCCUGCUAAGUCGGAUGUGAAAUCCCUCGGCUCAACCGAGGAACUGCAUCCGAUACUGGCGGGCUUGAAUCCGGGAGAGGGAUGUGGAAUUCCAGGUGUAGCGGUGAAAUGCGUAGAUAUCUGGAGGAACACCGGUGGCGAAGGCGGCAUCCUGGACCGGUAUUGACGCUGAGGCGCGAAAGCUAGGGGAGCAAACGGG